This is a long non-coding RNA of Bos taurus (domestic cattle), 591 nucleotides long. The record is from Ensembl. Lineage: Eukaryota; Metazoa; Chordata; Mammalia; Artiodactyla; Bovidae.
CUUGAGCCACUAGGCUGGGCUGUAUUGGAGGAACCGGGGAUAGCGAGGAAUUAAUUCCUUCUGGUCCUUCUGGACCAGAGUUCAGCUGAGCUCUUCCUGGCUGGGUUCACGUCCCAGCGGUGAAGCCGGAGGGAGAGCCAAGGGCUAAGUCCCAGGAAGAAAAAUAGGGCCGGAUUCGGGAUGGGGGUGAGGGGAGGUGUCCGUGGUCCAGAGUGAUGGUUCUGAAGAUCAGACCAUGUGAGGGGCCGAGAGUACAAAUAACGGCCGCGCCAGCGCCGGAACAGACAGCGGCGCCCGGGUGCCUCGACGGCGCGAGGGUCGCCGGCUCCGAAGCCCCGGACCAGCCUCCGCGGACUCCCGGCAGAUUCUUUACCGAUGAAGCCACCUGGGAAGCUUAUCUUUCUCUCGAAACUGAAAGUGUUACUUGCCAGUUGUGCCACACUCUUCGCUACCCUGUGGACUGUAGCCCGCCAGGCUUUUCUGUUCAUGGAAUACCUCCAGAACUUGUAGGAGCACAGGCACCUUCAAGCAACAUUACCCAAAUCACGGACAACUUGUGGCUUGAGGGCACCCCCGUGCCCCCCUCCACCC